RNAcentral lists this transfer RNA (73 nucleotides) under Felis catus (domestic cat). It matches the Rfam family "tRNA". From Rfam's summary of the family: Transfer RNA (tRNA) molecules are approximately 80 nucleotides in length. Their secondary structure includes four short double-helical elements and three loops (D, anti-codon, and T loops). The record is from Rfam by way of RNAcentral. Lineage: Eukaryota; Metazoa; Chordata; Mammalia; Carnivora; Felidae. RNAcentral also lists the same sequence under 4 other names.
ACCUGGCUGGCUCUGUCAGAAGAACGUGUGACUUUUAAUCUCAGGGUUGUGGGUUCAAGCCCCAUGUGGGGUG